UGGGAGUUCUCAUUCAGUCCGAGAGGGUAUCAGUUUACUUUCCAUCAAUUUUCCUUGGAAUUAAUAAAAAAAAUAAUUUACUCCAAGUGAAUGUUUAGGCUCAGUGUCCUUCUUGAAAUCAGUACUCACAGGACAUGUACUGUCCCUGGAGAUUAAAGCCAAGAUUAUAUCCUGGGCUGAGCCACAAAGGGCAAGGAGGACUUCUCAGAAAAACAAGAAAGAACAAUCACACUAAACCACUGGCACUUUAAUUACAGUGGAUUUCAUACUCUCAGAGCAAGAAGGGAAGCUCCUUAGCCAAAGAGCAGAAAAUAGACACCAAGAGGAAUGUAAAUGAUAUCCAAGGGUUAAAGGUUAGAUUGUAAACACGAAACUUUAGAUUUAAGGAGGAUUCUGAGGGAGUCUAGCCUCAGCAGGACACUGAACCCUAAAGUAAAAGAAAACUCUGGAAUACAAAGGGACUGUGACCACAAAAGCUGAGUGAUUUUUUAAUUGAAUAAAUUACUGUAUAUAUUUCCAAGGUCAAAGAUGUCUAAUGAGAUACUAGGAGAAUGCCAGAAUGUUUUUGCUAGAGCCUCUGGAUAGUUCUUUUCCUCCUGCUGCCUCCCCUCCAUUCCCACCGCCGUACCCGCACUACAGACAGAAUCACUUCUUAAAACCCAGAGCUCAUCUUACUGCACAUCUGCACAAAAACCUUCCGUGGCUAUCAUCCAUAGCAGUCCAGUUCCCAGCUCUCAAUGUCCUCAAUCCUCUUCCCCUAUCUUUUCCCAUCUUUCCAGCCUACUUCCCACCAUCUCGCCAUCCGCCUACCCGUGCUCCAGCCCUUUCCCCUACAGGAAUUACCACAGGACCCUGUGCCGCCUUAUCUCUAAAAUGCUUUCCCUUCUGUGCCUUUCCCCUCACACCCAGUUAUUGAAAGUUCUAUCUGCAAGGGAUUAAAUCCAAUGCCCCAUCCCUUUCUGUUCCCAUAGUCAUCUUAUGAAGCUUCUUUUUCCAGGAUUUCACGUUUUGCCGUGUUUGAUGUUUUUGUGUGGUUGUCCGUUCUGCUGUUAAGCUCCUUGAAUGCAGAAAUUGUGUUAUACAUCUUCACAACUGUUACCUUCCACGUUACCAAACACCUAGGAACCCCUCCAAAAAGAGCUCUUAAAAAACUAUAAACGGAAAUAUAAUUCUGAAGGAGGGAAUUUCCAAGAAUAGGGUUGACUUACAAGUGUGGAUUUGCUUGGCUUUCAGUGUAGAUUCCAAAGCUAGUUUCCCCUACCGCCCCCUCAGUGAGCCUAAGGAAAGGUAGAAGCCCAGAAGAUUAAAAUACGGAAUAUUUCGUUAGGAAACAUUUCUGAACUCCAGGAGUCCGGAAUGUUAUCUUACCAUCCAAUUCAUUAAUAAAAAGCUGCGGGGGCGGGGGGGGGGGCAGUGGGACUCUACACCAAAGUUCGUCUCUCCCCCCCCCUUUAGUUAUAGAUUUCAAAGCUGCUUCUAACUAAUUACAGCUUCACUUGCCCACACGUUCGAAGGAAUCAGGAACUUCUCUAGAAAGCAGUUCUUUCUGUUCCCCUU
Molecule: long non-coding RNA, 1557 nt
Filed under: Canis lupus familiaris (dog)
Lineage: Eukaryota; Metazoa; Chordata; Mammalia; Carnivora; Canidae
Description: lncRNA (ENSCAFG00000053157.1)
Source: RNAcentral